This 465-nucleotide ribosomal RNA is filed under the name uncultured bacterium. Its description in RNAcentral is "partial 16S ribosomal RNA". It matches the Rfam family "Bacterial small subunit ribosomal RNA", at positions 339 to 795 of the family's 1533-position model. The record is from RNAcentral.
CUACGGGGCGCAGCAGUGGGGAAUAUUGGACAAUGGGGGAAACCCUGAUCCAGCAAUGCCGCGUGUGUGAAGAAGGCCUGCGGGUUGUAAAGCACUUUCGGUUGGGAGGACUGCUUCUAGCACUAAUAUUGUUGGAAGUUGACGUUACCUUCAGAAGAAGCACCGGCUACCUCCGUGCCAGCAGCCGCGGUAAUAUGGAGGGUGCAAGCGUUAAUCGGAAUUACUGGGCGUAAAGCGCGCGUAGGCGGCUAGAUCAGUCGGGUGUGAAAGCCCCGGGCUUAACCUGGGAACUGCAUCCGAUACUGGCUAGCUUGAGUACAGGAGAGGAGAGUGGAAUUCCACAUGUAGCGGUGAAAUGCGUAGAUAUGUGGAGGAACACCAAUGGCGAAGGCAGCUCUCUGGCCUGAUACUGACGCUGAGGUGCGAAAGCGUGGGGAGCAAACAGGAUUAGAUACCCGGGUAGUC